RNAcentral lists this ribosomal RNA (292 nucleotides) under uncultured bacterium. Its description in RNAcentral is "partial 16S ribosomal RNA". The record is from RNAcentral.
GGACUACUGGGGUAUCUAAUCCUGUUUGAUCCCCACGCUUUCGAGCCUAAGUGUCAAUGUUGGGCCAGGUUCCCGCCUUCGCCACCGGAGUUCCACCUAAUAUCUACGUAUUUCACCACUACACUAGGUAUUCUAGAACCCUCUCCCACAUUCAAGUCUUGCAGUAUCAAAAGCACUUCCAGGGUUAAGCCCUGGGCUUUCACUCCUGACUUACAAGACCACCCGCGCUCGCUUUACGCCCAAUGAUUCCGAGCAACGCUUGCACCCUUCGUAUUACCGCGGCUGCUGGCAC